AUGAUGAACAGCUUGGCAGGGGGAUCCUUGACCGACACCAGGCUCGCUGA
Molecule: small nucleolar RNA, 50 nt
Filed under: Pyrobaculum calidifontis JCM 11548
Lineage: Archaea; Thermoproteati; Thermoproteota; Thermoprotei; Thermoproteales; Thermoproteaceae
Description: PCAsR139
Source: RNAcentral